RNAcentral lists this long non-coding RNA (490 nucleotides) under Mus caroli (Ryukyu mouse). RNAcentral's name for it is "predicted gene 43397 (MGP_CAROLIEiJ_G0006235.1)". The record is from RNAcentral. Lineage: Eukaryota; Metazoa; Chordata; Mammalia; Rodentia; Muridae.
GCUGUGGGGCUGGGUCUUUGGAAAGUGAGCUGAACACCAAUGUUUGCCUCUGGCCGUCCUGACCACAGAUACAAUGUGUUCAACCGUCUCAAACUCGACCACCAUAACUUCCGGAAUCAAAAGCCUAUAAAAAUAAACCCUGAGGGCUGGAGAGAUGACUCCGCGGGCAAAGAGCUUGCUGCAUAAGCGUGAGGACAGGAGUUUGAAUCCCCGUAUAAUGCCAGAGCUCUGCUUCGGACUGACAAAAAGGUAGUUCCAACAAGAAACACAGGAUGGAAAUAUUGGCUGGGAACUCAAGCAAGGAUAAAGAGUGAUAAAGAGUGGCACACAGAGCCAGGCAGAGUGGGACACGCCUACCAUCCCGGUACUGGGGAGGCCGAGGCAGGAAGAUUGUGCGUGUAAGGCCAGCCUGGUCUACACAGUGAGUAAGCUAACCUUUACCAAACGGGGCCUGUGGACAUUCUGUAAUAAACAUGGGUGGGGCUCACAA